GACCACGUAGCUCAGUUGGCAGAACAUUGGGCUAGUAUCUCAAAGGUCGCGGGUUCGAAUCCCACCGUGGCCA
Molecule: transfer RNA, 73 nt
Filed under: Paramuricea clavata
Lineage: Eukaryota; Metazoa; Cnidaria; Anthozoa; Malacalcyonacea; Plexauridae
Rfam family: tRNA
About the family: Transfer RNA (tRNA) molecules are approximately 80 nucleotides in length. Their secondary structure includes four short double-helical elements and three loops (D, anti-codon, and T loops).
Source: Rfam by way of RNAcentral